AUUGAACGCUGGCGGAAUGCUUUACACAUGCAAGUCGAACGGCAGCACGGACUUCGGUCUGGUGGCGAGUGGCGAACGGGUGAGUAAUGUAUCGGAACGUGCCCAGUCGUGGGGGAUAACGUAGUGAAAAUUACGCUAAUACCGCAUACGACCUAUGGAUGAAAGCGGGGGCACGUAAGACCUCGCGCGAUUGGAGCGGCCGAUAUCAGAUUAGGUAGUUGUUGGGGUAAAGGCCCACCAAGCCAACGAUCGGUAGCUGGUCUGAGAGGACGACCAGCGACACUGGAACUGAGACACGGUCCAGACUCCUACGGGAGGCAGCAGUGGGGAAUUUUGGACAAUGGGCGAAAGCCUGAUCCAGUCAUUCCGCGUGCAGGAUGAAGGCCCUCGGGUUGUAAACUGCUUUUGUACAGAACGAAAAGGUUUCUACUAAUACUAGGAGCUCAUGACGGUACUGUAAGAAUAAGCACCGGCUAACUACGUGCCAGCAGCCGCCGUAA
This 500-nucleotide ribosomal RNA is filed under the name uncultured bacterium. RNAcentral's name for it is "partial 16S ribosomal RNA". It matches the Rfam family "Bacterial small subunit ribosomal RNA", at positions 30 to 523 of the family's 1533-position model. The record is from RNAcentral.